AGUACUUGGGGGUCUCAUGCGCAGCGAAAAGAAGGACGUUAACGAAUGGGACGCUGUAUUGCAAAGCAACAUGUGGGAUUUGGCAAGUCAAAAUAUUCUUCCAACAUUAAGACUUAGCUACUAUCAUCUCCCAUCUCAUUCAAAACAGUGUUUUGCAUACUGUGCAAUUUUUCCCAAGGGUUAUGUAUACAAAAAGGAGGAAUUAGUUCUUCUGUGGAUGGCAGAAGGUCUUUUAGUCCCAUCAAGAGGAAAUACAGACGCAUUAGAAAUGGAUGAGUCGUGUUUUCAUGAUCUUGUAGCAAGUUCAUUUUUUCAACCCUCAAAAACCAAUGAAAGUGGCUUCAUGAUGCAUGACCUUAU
This 360-nucleotide unclassified non-coding RNA is filed under the name Hevea brasiliensis (rubber tree). The record is from RNAcentral. Lineage: Eukaryota; Viridiplantae; Streptophyta; Magnoliopsida; Malpighiales; Euphorbiaceae.